UACGUAGGAUGCAAGCGUUGUCCGGAAUUAUUGGGCGUAAAGAGCGCGCAGGCGGUAUGACAAGUCAGAUGUGAAAGAGGCCGGCUUAACCGGCAAGGGUCAUUUGAAACUGUCAGACUAGAGUGCAGCAGAGGAUAGUGGAAUUCCUGGUGUAGCGGUGAAAUGCGCAGAUAUCAGGAGGAACACCAGCGGCGAAGGCGGCGCUCUGGGCCGGAACUGACGCUGAGGAGCGAAAGCGUGGGUAGCAAACAGG
Molecule: ribosomal RNA, 253 nt
Filed under: uncultured bacterium
Lineage: Bacteria
Description: partial 16S ribosomal RNA
Rfam family: Bacterial small subunit ribosomal RNA
Source: RNAcentral